UGACUGGAGUAUUCUGUGAGGCUGG
This 25-nucleotide non-coding RNA is filed under the name Cricetulus griseus (Chinese hamster). Lineage: Eukaryota; Metazoa; Chordata; Mammalia; Rodentia; Cricetidae. The record is from RNAcentral.